GGUUACACUGUCUCCUUUUUCAAUCAGUGAAACUAAUCUCCCCGUGAAGAAGCGAGGAUAUUUUUAUAAGACGAGAAGACCCCAUGGAGCUUUAAACCCAACCACACCCCUAACUCUUAUAGCCCCUCAACCUUUCCUGGGCCCUGUACGGUUGGUUUUAGGUUGGGGCGACCACGGAGUACAACAAAACCUCCACAAUGAACGGGACUACCCCCCUUAUCUAAGAGCCACACCCCUAAGAAUUAGAAUACUAACAUAAAAUGAUCCAUUAUUUGAUCAAUGAACCAAGUUACCCUGGGGAUAACAGCGCAAUCCAUUCCAAGAGCCCCUAUCGACAAAUGGG
RNAcentral lists this ribosomal RNA (343 nucleotides) under Mantidactylus sp. 13 MV-2009. Its description in RNAcentral is "partial 16S ribosomal RNA". It matches the Rfam family "Bacterial large subunit ribosomal RNA", at positions 2009 to 2516 of the family's 2925-position model. The record is from RNAcentral. Lineage: Eukaryota; Metazoa; Chordata; Amphibia; Anura; Mantellidae.